UACGUAGGGGGCGAGCGUUAAUCGGAAUUACUGGGCGUAAAGCGUGCGCAGGCGGCUUCGCAAGUCAGGCGUGAAAUCCCCGGGCUUAACCUGGGAAUGGCGUCUGAAACUACGGAGCUGGAGUGUGGCAGAGGGAGGUAGAAUUCCACGUGUAGCGGUGAAAUGCGUAGAUAUGUGGAGGAAUACCGAUGGCGAAGGCGGCCUCCUGGGCCAACACUGACGCUCAUGCGCGAAAGCGUGGGGAGCAAACAGG
This 253-nucleotide ribosomal RNA is filed under the name uncultured bacterium. RNAcentral's name for it is "partial 16S ribosomal RNA". It matches the Rfam family "Bacterial small subunit ribosomal RNA", at positions 524 to 776 of the family's 1533-position model. The record is from RNAcentral.